Molecule: long non-coding RNA, 642 nt
Filed under: Homo sapiens (human)
Lineage: Eukaryota; Metazoa; Chordata; Mammalia; Primates; Hominidae
Description: non-protein coding lnc-FOXQ1-8:1
Source: RNAcentral
UGAGGAGCAUCUCUGUGUCCCAUGGGGAGGGACCAAUGAAGAGAGCAAAAGUUAUCAUUUGUGGGGGUCCUAGCCAAGCAGACUGAGUUUCCAGGUAGGACUCCAGGCCUGGAGUUUCAAUCAGCUGUCUUAGAUAUUAUUAUUAGUAAAGAAGAGAAAACAACUAGCUAGCUGACACUAACAGGGAAAGGCACUCCCAAUAUCCUUUAAUAUCCUUCUGACUUCCUGAGACAGUUUGGUCCCAGAGAUGCCUAAGUCUGUAGUCCCUGCAUAUCCCUGAAUGAGGCUCAGUCACCUCAGCAGCCUUAACUGAAAAUGCAGCACCUUCCUCCAUUCCAAAAAUGAAAGUGUUUAGACCAGAACCUACACUCUUAGAAAACAUUAGGAACGUUUCCAUGGGUCAAAGAAAACAGUAUGUGGGACAGAAGGAGGAGACAAGGAAGGAUGAAGAGCCGUAGCUGCCCAGAACCCAACGACUCUCCCCUCUGUUGUUCCCCGUUCCCACCGUGAUUGUUCUAGUCUCCUGGCCAAGAGCCUUAGGACUGUUCUGCCUCCUCCCUCACCAAGUCCUGUUAACUCUUCCUCCAUAACACCCUUUGCUUCUGUCCCUACUGUGCCCUCCCUGUGCCCCACCCUAGUCCA